UGCGAAGCCCUAACGCAGCGCUGGGGAGGGGGGCGGCCGAAAGGGGGCCGGUGGCUGGACUCUGAACAACUCCCUUCAGUAAAGGGGCCAGUCUUCACUGGCAGUGGCUGGUACUUGGCUCUCAGCCUGGAGUGGCAGCUCUGCUAGCAGCUGGGUUCACUCCCACUUCAUCCUGGCUGAAAGCAGUGCUGUGCUUUGAAAUGCAGCCAAUGAAUACCCAGUCUGAUUACCCAGAUUUGGGCAGACCAGCAGUGCUCGCCAGAGUGGUCUGGCCUGCUAUGGGGGAU
This 287-nucleotide long non-coding RNA is filed under the name Homo sapiens (human). RNAcentral describes it as "non-protein coding lnc-MANEAL-3:2". Lineage: Eukaryota; Metazoa; Chordata; Mammalia; Primates; Hominidae. The record is from RNAcentral.